AUAUUAGGAAUGCAGAAAAAAUAUCUCCGUCGGAUUAUUACUCGUUCCAAUCCAUGGCUCACUUUCUGUUCUCACAACGCUUCAUCAACCAAGAAGAGGCGGAGGCUUCAGUGAAGGAGUUCUUUGUUUCGAA
Octopus sinensis (East Asian common octopus) is the source of this 133-nucleotide long non-coding RNA. RefSeq lists it as uncharacterized. The record is from RefSeq and is a predicted model, not a curated record. The transcript has 3 exons. Lineage: Eukaryota; Metazoa; Mollusca; Cephalopoda; Octopoda; Octopodidae.